This 87-nucleotide transfer RNA is filed under the name Sedimenticola sp. Its description in RNAcentral is "tRNA-Leu". It matches the Rfam family "tRNA". From Rfam's summary of the family: Transfer RNA (tRNA) molecules are approximately 80 nucleotides in length. Their secondary structure includes four short double-helical elements and three loops (D, anti-codon, and T loops). The record is from RNAcentral. Lineage: Bacteria; Pseudomonadati; Pseudomonadota; Gammaproteobacteria; Chromatiales; Sedimenticolaceae.
GCCCGGGUGGCGAAAUUGGUAGACGCAGCGGACUUAAAAUCCGCCGGUUUAGCGACCGUGCCGGUUCGAGUCCGGCCCCGGGCACCA